GUUUUUACUAAUGAAGAAUGUUUAAAGGUGUCAAAAAGCCGGGUGUUAGAGCCAAGCGGUCUCGUUUCACACCACCGAGACGGUCCACGAGUUCCUAUUAGGCUGGAAGACUCUAUUUUUGAAACAGUGUGUGAUCGUCCCCAUCUAGUGGCUCUAAAACAGAUUGAGAUAGCCCCCAAGUGGACAGUGGGAAGCCCUACCUGCAAACCUACUCUACAAACAGGCUGCUAAGCCCAGGAAGACAGAGAAAGAACACACAUCAGUACCACUCUCCUUGAAAUAUAAGGCCACAUGGGAAAUGCUGGCCUAUGGUGCGGGAGGAGGGUAGAUACCCAAACCAGGAUUAAAAAGCCAACCGACCCUAUUUACACGUAAGAUAUUGGUUCUCUCCUCUCUUCUUCCCACCCCACCCCAGACAUGCUCCAAUCACCACCUACAUGCCUGAAGCUGAAUUUGGAAUUCUCAGCCACUUUGGCACCUGCUCUAGAACAACUACGGUGAUAGGCAGAGAACAAGUCCCCACCCGCUUGUCUCCCAUCCCAGCCCUGCCACUCACUGAGGGGCAUGCAUAGCUCCAUGUAGACACCCUGGUUUCUAUCCAAGCUCUAGUCACACAUCCUGAUGCCCUUCAGAUGCCAGCACCCAGGUGCCCUUUGGACAAUCACAGUGUGUCCUGUGAAAAUGAACCCAGAGAAGUAGGACCUUGGUAUAUAAUGCAGACUGACCCCAAAUGCUUGCUCUUUCUACCACCGCCUCCCACAUGCUGGGAUUACAGAUCCUCACUUUCAUGGUUAAAACUGCCUGUCUGCUCAUAAAAAACACACCCGGACAGAAGCUGAACAAAGAGAGAACUGUUAUUAAUUUUGAUAUCAAAGAUUGUAAUGAAGGUGGGGGUGUGCAUAGGCCCUUGUUACAGUUGACCAUGAAUCUGAUGACACUUAUAACAGAUUUCUCUAGACCAAUGGUUCUCAACUUGUGAAUCCAGACCUUUUUGGGGGGAGUUGGAUGACUCCUUCACAGGGGUUGCCUAAGACCAUAGUAAAACACAGAUAUUUACAUUAUGAUUCAUAGCGGUAACAAUGAAAAUAAUUUUAUGGUUGGGGGUCACCACAACAUGAGGAGCUGUAUUAAAGGGUCACAGCAUUAGAAAGGUUUAGAAUCAUUGCUCUAGACAGUCCAAGUUUCAAAUUUUUGACCUGAUAUUUGUGAACACAUUAUUAUGCUAGCCAGACUUUUGUUGAUAUUUAAGCUUCAUAACAAUCACUAUGAAAAUGGAGGCAGGCUAGGUAGGGUCCUAGGAACUCUUCCCUGGAUGCUGGAUCUGCCUGUGGUGCCACAUUCAUCACUCCUGACCUAGAGGUGAACCUGCUCGUCUACUAUGCAACUCCACACUGUAAAAACUAAGGACUGGAUGGUGUCAGAGAGUGGCUCAACCAGGGGGAAAACAUCAAUCUCAACUUGGACCAAUUCUUUAAUCACUAAAUGCGGCCCUGCCAUAGAGUUAUAGGCUAAGGCAAUCUACUGGUUAAUACAUUUGGAAAGUCCAAUGCUAAAACUGUCAGGUAUUAUAUUUUUUAUUUAAUAAUACCUUUAGUGUUUAAUUUAAAGCAAUGGGUUCUUUUUUUCCUGUGUAUUGUAGACACAGGGCUAAUGGUUUUGAUUUUAUUAUCUGUGCUUCCCUCUAGUGGUGGACAGAAGAUGCACAUCUAGGUGGGUGUGACAGCCUGUGUCAGGCUGGAAGUUAUCAUACAUUAUAAUCAAUUCAAUAACUUUAUAG
This 1777-nucleotide long non-coding RNA is filed under the name Cricetulus griseus (Chinese hamster). Its description in RNAcentral is "lncRNA (ENSCGRG00015030097.1)". The record is from RNAcentral. Lineage: Eukaryota; Metazoa; Chordata; Mammalia; Rodentia; Cricetidae.